AACAUACUCCCUCCGUCAGGAAUUACUUGUCCUAGAGAUGAAUAUAUCUAGACUUAUUUUAGUUAUAGAUACAUCCAUUAUAUCCAUUUCUAGGACAAGUAUUUUCGGAAGGAGGGAGUAGCAG
RNAcentral lists this microRNA precursor (124 nucleotides) under Hordeum vulgare. RNAcentral's name for it is "microRNA MIR1122". It matches the Rfam family "MIR1120/MIR1122 microRNA precursor family". Lineage: Eukaryota; Viridiplantae; Streptophyta; Magnoliopsida; Poales; Poaceae. The record is from RNAcentral.